UCUAACAUUGUUCUCUUAAAUAAUUCAAUAAACUAGGUUAACAAAAAAAAAAAAGACAAACGACAACGGCAAUACACUAAUAAAAUAAAGGGUAAAAUAUGUUUUUCAUCCCUGUAAUUAUGGGCCAUUUGAUUUUUCAUCCCUGAACUUACUAAUCCUCCCAUUUUGCCCCCGUAAUUACUAAUCAUUUGAAAAUUCGUCCUAAUUACAAAAUUUUGCUGAGGUGGAGGGUGAUUAGCUACGUGGCACUUAGUGACUGGGGUUUUGGCAGGACACAUCAGCAGAUGGGGAGGGAAAUGACAAUUUUGCCCUUAAUGAGUCUGGUUUCGCGCGGAAUGACCGUUUUACCCCUGCCUCCUUCUUUCCUUCUUCACGUAUUCUUCUUCUCUUCUUCUCAAAUAGAAACACGAAAUUGGAGGGAAAAUGUUCUAGGGUUUAGGGUUGAAACGCGAAUUGGGGAAAAUUGGUGAGAAGAUUUCGAUUGGAACUCGAUUGGCUCCGGAAAUUGGUGUUGGAAUCUCUAUUGGAACGCAAAGCACUAAAUCGAACUCGUUGCAGAAAGGUAACGUGAAGAAGAAAAACCCAAGUACCUUCGUUUGUUUGUAUAAAUAUGCAAUUUUUGUUUGUUUUUUCCGUGAAAUAGAUGAUAAAAAACAUGUGGGUUUCUAUUUUCGCAUGCUUAGUGUGGUGUAUUUUUGUACCAUUGUUGUGUUGCUGAGUGAGUGUAUUUUUGUUUCAGAAUGUCUAUAUCUGUUUUAGUUCACUAUGGAGGACGUUUUGUUAGGGAUUGGUUAAUCAAUUACAGUGGGGGGAAUGUAAAACUGUUUGAAGGUCUAGAUAUUGAGAAGUGGAGUUUUUUUGAAAUAUGUGGUAUUGUAGAAAAAGAUUUGGAGGUUAAAAAGCCAUAUAGGUUGUGGUGGAUGCCUGAUGAGGAUGUUGACUUUAGGAUCAUAAGAUUAGAUUAGGAUGCAAUUGAGAUUAAGGAUUAUGCUGUUAAAAAAAACAGGGCUGCUAACAUAUUUGUUGAGCAUGAUGUAGAUGAAGAAAGUCAGUUAGUAGACAUUCCAAACUGUGUGAUUAGUAGUCAAGUAGGUGAAAGAUCAAAAUGUGUCAAGGGUAAUGAAUUAGUUGAAAGUUCAGAAGCCAAUAGGUACAUUGAGAAAGGAAAGGCAGUUAUGGUAUGUCCUGAUGAAGACAAUGUGGAUGAGGGUGGUUCAGGUAGUAGUGAUGAAGAUGAGGAUGAGGCAUAUGAUCACUUUGAUGACAGUGAGGAUGAUAGGGCACUUUGUCUUGAGGAUAGGUUUGAGCCAUAUGAUAAAAACCCUCUAGAUUUUGAAUACAGUGAUGAUUAUAUGGAUGGUGUUGAUGGUGUUGUUGAUAAUUCAUACAAACCUUCAAAUGAUAAACCUGAUAAGCCUAUGAAACCAAAGAAAAAAGCAAAGGUUGUUGAACAAGAACAACAUGCUGACCCUGAAUGGGAGAAGGACUAUCUUAGUGAAGAAUUACUAUCAGAUGACCCUGAUGAUUCUGAUUCUGAGGGAUUGUCAAGAUACCCUGAAUUUAAGAUGGGUGAACUAACAAAGGACUAUAAGUUCAAAGUUGGUAUGGACUUUAAGUCAAUUGCAGAGUUCAAGGAGGCAAUUAGUGAGUGGUCAGUAUUAAACUUAAGACAGAUAAAGUUUGUGAAACAAGACAAGGAAAGAUGUAGGGCAGUGUGUAAAGAUAUAAAAUGCAAUUAUGUGGUUCAUUGUAGCAAAGUGGCAGACAGCCACACAUUUAAAAUAAAGACAUUAAGUGGGGACCACACAUGUGCCAAGUCUAUUAAAAAAACAAUUGCUACUUCCAAGUGGGUGACAAAGGAAGUGCUUCCAAAGAUAAUGACAACUGGUGAUAUGCCUGUCAAAGAUAUAAUGAAGGACUUGAGGAGGAAAUAUUCAGUGGGUGUAUCUUUCCAUGUAGCUUGGAAGGCAAAGAAAAUGGCUAAAGAAAUCAUUGAAGGUGAUGCUAAGAAACAAUAUACUCUGCUUUGGAGGUAUGCUGCUGAGUUGCACAGAGUUUCAUUGGGAAAUACCCUCAAGAUUAAUGUGGAGAGAACACUGUUAACAAAUCAACCAAGGUUCAACAAGUUUUAUUUCUGUUUUGAAGGUUGUAAAAAAGGAUUUUUGAGUGGAUGUAGGCCUUUCAUUGGAGUGGAUGGAUGCCAUCUGAAAACAAUGUAUGGAGGAAUACUACUGGUUGCUGUUGGAAGAGAUGCAAAUGAUCAGUAUUACCCAUUGGCUUUUGGAGUGGUUGAGAAUGAGACUAAUGAAGCUUGGAGAUGGUUCUUGACAUUGCUACUUAAUGAUAUUGGCACUGACAGGAGAUGGGUCUUUAUAACAGACCAACAAAAGGUAAAUAGUUUAUGUUUUGAGACUAAUUUGUACUUAUGUUUUGUUAUGCUGUGUGUACUUAUGUUUUCUUUUGCUAUGUGUGUACUCUAGGGAUUGAUUCCAGUUUUAGAAGAAUGGUCUGACAGGCUUGAACAUAGGUUGUGUUUGAGACAUUUAUAUGCUAACUUCAAGAAGAAGUUUGGAGGAGGGACCUUGAUUAGAGACUUGAUGAUGGGAGCAGCAAAGGCAACAUAUUUCCAAGGUAUCUUGAUUAUUUUAUUAUUGGUAUUCAUAAUAUUCAUAAUGAUGAUGAGUUUUAAUUUGUAUUUUUCUAUUCAUGAAUAAAGCUUGGGAUGCAAAGAUGAAUGAGCUCAAGAAGGUUGAUCAUGCUGCAUGGGAAUGGCUGAGAGGUCACAACCCAAAAUUAUGGUGUAAGCAUGCCUUCUCCUAUUAUCCCAAGUGUGAUGUGCUGAUGAAUAAUAUAUCUGAGUCUUUUAAUGCAACAAUCUUGUUAGCUAGGGACAAACCAAUACUAACAAUGGCUGAGUGGAUUAGAACUUAUAUUAUGAAUAGGAUAUCAAGCCUUAGAGAGAAACUUAGUAAAUGGGAACAAAAUAUCAUGCCUAUGCCUAAGAAAAGACUGAAUACUGAGAUACAAAAGGCUGGUAAUUGGAUUGCAACUUGGGGAAAUGGUGAGGAGUUUGAGGUUGAAAUGAUUGGUGGUGGGCAGAGAUUUACUGUGGACAUGGGGAAAAGAACUUGUAGUUGUAAUUUUUGGGAGCUAGUAGGUAUACCUUGCAGACAUGCUAUUGUUGCAAUGUCUAAGACAGACCAAAACCCAGAGGGCUAUGUUUCUGAAUGGUAUACUAGGAGCAAGUAUGAAGCAUGUUAUAACUUCAAUGUGAGUGCUAUAAAUGGUCAAGAUAUGUGGCCUGAAGUUGAAUGUGAGGAGAUGCUUCCUCCUGUGUACAUCAAAGGACCAGGAAGACCUAAGAAACUAAGGAGGAGAGAGCCUGAUGAGCCAGCAAAAUCAUGUGGGAAAUUUAGCAGAGGUGCUAGUAAGUACAAGUGCACAAGAUGUGGGAGUUGUGGUCACAAUGCUAGAGGUUGCAAAAGUCAGACAAUGAACCCAGAAGCACAAAAAAGAAAGGUAUUUUACUUCUGUCAAAAUAUUGAUCAAUAUUUCUUGUCAGUUUAUCUCUAACUAUAUUGAUUUAUAAUUUGCAAACAGAAGAAACAACCAAAGAAGCAAAAUCAAACACAACAACAAAGUGCUCAAGUCUCUCAAGAACAGUCUGCUCAACAUGAAACACAAAGUGCUCAAGCAAGUCAAAGUGGGGAGACCAAUCCAGUUCAAACUGAAGUAAGUCAAAGUGGAGGGGCCAAUCCAGUUCAAAUUGAAGCAAGUCAAAGUGGGGGGGCCAAUCCAAUUCAGACUCAAACAAGUCAAAGUUUUGAUACUAAUCAAACAAAAGUUGAUAAAGUUCAAAGGAAGGUAAAUUGUUUAUUAUAUGCUACUAAUUUGUUUAUUAUAUGCUACUUUGACAGAGAAAAACAUCAACUCAAGGAAAUCAAACAGAAGUUACUGAAGGCAGUUUUAGUGUUGGUACUGGAUCAACAAACACUGAAGUGGGGGUAAAUGGGAAUAAGAAAAGGAAGCUGGUUAAAUCUGCUAUGUGCAAUGGUAAAUUCAAGCCACCUGCACCUGCACAUUCUCUUCCUUCCAGACCAGUUAAAGCUCCAAUCACCAAACCUACAGUUGCAUUUAUGUCAACCUACAUGAAACCAAAUUCAUCCACAACUGUCAACCCCACUGCACAGGUUCAUACCGAUGUUCAUUCUGCUCCAACCUCCAAAACUAUUGUCAAACCAACUACAAUAGUUUCCACAAAUGUCAAGACUGCCCAAAACACACACAACAUCAUUAACCCAUCUGCAAUUGUCAACACAACAGUCAACACUACACCAACUUCUCAAACAUUUACUUCUAAAACAUUUGUCAAGCCAUACACCAUUGUGAAAACAAUUAUUGAACCUGUCUUAAAGAAACGUCCACCAAAUCCAGCAACUAAGGUGAGGAGAAGUCGUAGGACUGCUUGGAAAAAUAAUGCUAACUUCAAAGGGCCUGGAAAAGCAAUAGAUGAUCCAAUUGAAGUGGCAGAUGAUGAUAACCAUGCUAAGACACAACAUGCUACAAAAACUGCUGGUGAUACUUCAAAAACUGUUGGUGAUACUUCAAAAGCUGCUGGUGAUGCUAAAGAUGGAUCCUGUUUAGGCCUGUUGAAAAAAAUUGACACAAUUAAAUAUGUUUAAUUGGGCUAGCAAUGUUUUGAUGUUGUCUUUUUUGGUGUAAUAUGUGGCUUGGACCAAGUUAUCUGCUAAUUAUGUAGCUUAGCCAUCUUUUGAUGUUAAUGUACCUAUUGGCUUAGACCUUAAAUGUUUAGCUUAGCCAUCUUUUGAUGCUAAUUUACAUAUUGGCUUAGACCUUAAAUGUUUCUUCCUUUGAUGACAAUGUUAUGCUAUUUGAGUAAAUGUUAUUCUAUUUCAUUACAAUCAUGGGAUACACCAUCUUUGUUGCACAAAGUGAUUGAUGCUUCUGUAAAAACACAAACUUAAACAACACAAACUUAAACACUUUCUUGCAAUCACAUUACAAUUCAUUUAGAUUGAAAUACAACACACAUUCAUUUAUAUUGAAUUACAACACUUAACACACAAACACUUAACAAACUAAACAUAAAGCCUAAACAUAAACACACUACCAAUGGAUCCACUUCAUUACAUAACAACCAACUACAACCCUAACUUAAACAAACUAACACUGCAAUCGGAAUCCAACUUGCCACCAGAUGCAACUUCAGCCAUUACUUUCUUCCAUAAAACACACAAAAGAGAACCCAACUUGCCACCAGACUCCACUUCAGCUAUGCCACUUUCUUUUUCUCAGCUAACAUCUUCUUCUUCCACUUAUCUUUCUUCAAGUCAUAAAUUCCUUCCAUAGCUUCAACACAAUUACACUUCUUUUCUUUAAACUCCACUUCUUCCUCAACCUUCACCUUCUCUUCUGUCACUUCAACCAUUGGCCUUGUACCAGCAGCAAGCUCAUCAUCCCAAAUCAACAACUAACAUGUAUUUUUUUUCAUCCAAUUGCGACACUUCCAAAAUCGACGUCCUUGAUUCGCUCUUGUGUUAGCAAUGUAGAUGACCAUGGGCAACUCACAACGGCACAUUGGAAGCAUUCCACAGGAAGUUUCGAAUUCACCGUACAAUAAAGAACCAUACGUGUACCCUGUACUGCUGUUUCCAGUUGACAUUUUCGAACUGGAGAAAGUAAAUCUGAGAUGAGGGAAUGCGAGUGAAGGUUCAAUGGAGAAGAAAAGUGGAUGUUUUAGGGUUUCAGAAAGCAAGAAGUACGAUUGAGAAGAAGAGAAGAAGAAUACGUGAAGAAGGAAAGAAGGAGGCAGGGGUAAAACGGUCAUUCCGCACGAAACCAGACUCAUUAAGGGCAAAAUUGUCAUUUCCCUCCCCAUCUGCUGAUGUGUCCUGCCAAAACCCCAGUCACUAAGUGCCACGUAGCUAAUCACCCUCCACCUCAGCAAAAUUUUGUAAUUAGGACGAAUUUUCAAAUGAUUAGUAAUUACAGGGGCAAAAUGGGAGGAUUAGUAAGCUCAUGGAUGAAAAAUCAAAUGGCCCAUAAUUACAGGGAUGAAAAGCAUAUUUUACCCUAAAAUAAAAGAUCCUCAGUAGAAUUUGCCCUUCUAUUCCUGGUCUAUUGAUUACAAAAUCUAGCCCUUCAAUUCUACCAAUGAGACAUUGUAAUUCUUCAACUCACAACAGAACAGACCUGCAUAAAACACGUUAGUGGAAAGUUUUAUCACCAUAUCCUACACUGCUUUCCCAAAUAAAGAAGAGCAAAACUAGAAGUAAAGGAAUUUCCCGAUCUUGCUUCCAAAGCUAUAGAACAAUGAUAAAACACUUUUCAACUCUACACUACAUACAAAUUCGGGAGGUUUUGAUUUAAGACAGUCACGGGAAUUGGGAGAGUAUAUAUUAGGAAAUUGGUUGCCAACAUGUAUGUCAUUAGUUAAUUCAAAAAUGUAUGUAUGAAAAUCAACCCCCAUAAGAUCAAAUCAACCACUUCUCCGACUGUAUAUGGCAUAGUCUCUUGCAUGUAGUGAGGCAUAGUCUCUUCCUUGUAGUGAGGAAUGCGGGAAUGAACCAUGAUAGGGAUUUGAAGCUACCGCAUUUUGAUGAAAUGUCUGAAGAUAGCCCCCGGGUAUUUGUUGGCAAACAUGAUGAGACUGUGAGGAAGGAUUAUAAGAACCUUGGAAACCAGCUGGGUUUAAGCCAAAAUGAGGAGGAACAUGUCCUGGAACAUAACCAUGAUGCUCCAUAAAAUCUGUACUAUGUGUAGCAAACGAUGAUUGAUAUCGAGAUAGGUAGGGAAGUGGGGGAGGGAAAGAAGCAAGUCGAUUGAGCACAUUACUGCUAGGAUGUACAUGCACCUUACCUGUAGGAGUGUUCUUAUUUUUAUUGGUGUUGCUAGUAGAAGUGCCCUCAACUCCAUUGGGCACAUUACUACUAGGAGGUACAUGCACCUGAUCUGCACCCCGGGGUUCAGUUUGAUGAAAAUCCCCAGCCUGGUUUUUAACUAUGCGUCUCUUUUUCGGUGGACGGGGAUUAUGCAAAGUAGGAGGGUUAUUCUUAUUUCCAUUGAUGUUGCUAGUAGAAGUACCCUCAACGCCUAGAGUAAAAGCCAUAGGUUUUCCAAACAAAUGGUCCAUUAACUCAAUUCCCUGGAUCUCGCCGUUUAAAAACCGUGAAAGGUAGUCAAUGGAAUUAUGGAUACAUUUGUAGAUCGUCUUAAACCCUUCAGCUCUAACUGCUCGAGCAACAUUUUGUGAUAGAUCUGUAAAAUCCUCCAC
RNAcentral lists this long non-coding RNA (7294 nucleotides) under Medicago truncatula (barrel medic). Its description in RNAcentral is "long non-coding RNA (MTRU_LNC001123)". The record is from RNAcentral. Lineage: Eukaryota; Viridiplantae; Streptophyta; Magnoliopsida; Fabales; Fabaceae.